CACAUUUCUCAGAAUUAUAUUAUCAGGAAUGCACGCAUUUCAAAUGAUUCAUAUUUAACUAGAUUACACACUUAAAUCACUUGCUCAAGAGCAACCCCGAGACACCGUUUUAUUUUGAGGAGUUUCUCGUUGACAUUUUUUGCCCUUGCUUUUAUUUUUGAGACAACAUCCCAUGUAUCCCAGACUGCCCUGGAUUCUGCUGCUUCUUCCCAAGGACUUUAAGGCAUGUCACACCAUACUCAACUCUAACGUUGCUAUUGAAAAAUAAGCAUCCUUCUCAAAGAGCUGAACAUAUGUCACCGAAGGGAAUCAAACAUUAAGGCCUUUAUAUUGCUUUCUAAACAACUCAGAGAGAGACUAAAACGAUCAACAAAACCUGGUCAGAAAAGUGAGUCGCUCUGUGGGAGCAAGUGAAGGCAAGGACGAUGGCCAUCAAGUCCUUGGCAUUUAGGAUGGCAUUAUCUUAGCCUCUAAAAUAUUAAAUAGAAAAUUACAGAAGUAAACAACUCAUGCAUCCUAAAUUGCAUGGUGGCCUGAAUAGGGUUUUGAAACCUCACCUUGUGUGUCUUCUCCUGCCUGGGAGGCCUUUCCUUCUGACUGCUCCAUACUGUGUGACACCUGGCCAUUUCAGUGACUAGACCCACUGCUGGAGUAUUGAGACAGGAACUAGCUUCAGUGAGGGCAGGCUGAUGGCGCGCCAUGAGCUACUCAUGUGGGAUUCACGACUCCUUUCUGAAAUAAGCAAAUAACUCUGGAGCUGGCAAGGGAUGUGGAACUCUUACAGGUUUGGGCCAAAAUGCACUAAAAAAAAAAAAAUGACCAGUAACAAUAAAGAUCACCUCAGUUCCCAACCACUUCCUACCAUGAGACCCAUACAGGACACCAGGUCGGGGGCCCUUGGUGCCCCUCUCAUACUCAGGAGGUUUCCCACUUUUCUCUAAUAAAUCCAUAUUUGCUUUGCUCACUCCUUUCCCGUGCUUCCUUAAUCUGGGGUAUGAGAUUAUGAGUUUGGAAUCCAGAGGCUUGAGUGGUUUUGGUAGCUGUUGAAUUUCCAGAACCCUAGUCCUCAGAAAGGACACCAAGAGCCUAAAAAACUCUGUUGAACUCAACACAAAUCGCUAACCCAGUUCUUAUGUUCAAGUAUUAUCCUGCUUCAUGAAGGCGAGGGGCCAGCAAGGUGACCCACUGGGUGAAAAUGUGGUCCCAAGCCUGAUAGCCUAAGCUGGCACGUGUGCUUACACAAUAUCACACACAUGCCUGCACACACAAGCACAUACACAUGCACACACACAUGCACACACACACCAACAUGCAUACACACACAUAUGCUCCUCUUCACCCCCCACUACCCUUCCUCCAACACGACCACACCUCUUUAUAGUGCCACUCACUCCCUGGGCCAAGCAUAUUCAAACCACUACAAUGUCCUUUCCUGAGUGGGGGACUUCUUUACUGUGUUUUGCUCUAUACAAGUACACCUGUAACAAAUUAACUUACAAUUUAUACAUGAGAAUAAUGAGUUAGAAACAUGGCUCAGUAGCUCAGAGUGCUGGCCAGUAUUGCAGAGGGCCUAAGUGUUAUUCCCAGCACCCACACUGGGCAGUUCACAACCACUGCCAUUGGGCGAUAGCUCCAGUUCCAGAGGAUCCAAUGCCCUCUGCUCCCCUUUGUCCAGCACUUGUGCUCACGGCUCAUGUGUGCAUUCUCUGUCUGUUCCUCAGCCCCAACCCCCAAAGAGAUAAAAAAAUAAAUAUUUA
Molecule: long non-coding RNA, 1757 nt
Filed under: Mus musculus (house mouse)
Lineage: Eukaryota; Metazoa; Chordata; Mammalia; Rodentia; Muridae
Description: long non-coding RNA chr14:60411714-60413471
Source: RNAcentral